Molecule: ribosomal RNA, 447 nt
Filed under: uncultured archaeon
Lineage: Archaea
Description: bacterial SSU rRNA
Rfam family: Archaeal small subunit ribosomal RNA
Source: RNAcentral
GACCUCGAGUGCCAGGUUACAAAUCUGGCUGUCGUGAUGCCUAAAAAGCAUUGCAUAGCAAGGGCCGGGCAAGACCGGUGCCAGCCGCCGCGGUAACACCGGCGGCUCGAGUGGUAACCGUUAUUAUUGGGUCUAAAGGGUCUGUAGCCGGCCGGAUAAGUCUCUUGAGAAAUCCAGCAGCUCAACUGUUGGGCUUUCAGGAGAUACUGUUCGGCUCGAGGCCGGGAGAGGUGAGAGGUACUUCAGGGGUAGGGGUGAAAUCUUGUAAUCCUUGAAGGACCACCAGUGGCGAAGGCGUCUCACCAGAACGGACCUGACGGCAAGGGACGAAAGCUAGGGGCACGAACCGGAUUAGAUACCCGGGUAGUCCUAGCCGUAAACGAUACUCGCUAGGUGUCGGCCACGGUGCGACCGUUGUCGGUGCCGUAGGGAAGCCGUGAAGCGAGC